Molecule: small nuclear RNA, 90 nt
Filed under: Staphylococcus aureus
Lineage: Bacteria; Bacillati; Bacillota; Bacilli; Caryophanales; Staphylococcaceae
Description: SARs276
Source: RNAcentral
UUUUUUCGAUUCUAGUCAGGGGCCCCAGCACAGAGAAUUUCGAAAUGAAAUUCUACAGGCAAUGCGAGUUGGGGUGGAACGACGAUAAAG